UUCCCGGCAGUCCAGUGGUUAGGACUCUGCGUUUCCACUGCAGGGGGCACGGGUUCCAUCCCUGGCUGGGGAA
This 73-nucleotide transfer RNA is filed under the name Capra hircus (goat). It matches the Rfam family "tRNA". Rfam says of the family: Transfer RNA (tRNA) molecules are approximately 80 nucleotides in length. RNAcentral also lists the same sequence under 1 other name. Lineage: Eukaryota; Metazoa; Chordata; Mammalia; Artiodactyla; Bovidae. The record is from Rfam by way of RNAcentral.